This 497-nucleotide ribosomal RNA is filed under the name uncultured bacterium. Its description in RNAcentral is "partial 16S ribosomal RNA". It matches the Rfam family "Bacterial small subunit ribosomal RNA", at positions 28 to 507 of the family's 1533-position model. The record is from RNAcentral.
GAUGAACGCUGGCGGCGUGCCUAAUACAUGCAAGUCGAGCGAACAGACGAGGAGCUUGCUCCUCUGACGUUAGCGGCGGACGGGUGAGUAACACGUGGAUAACCUACCUAUAAGACUGGGAUAACUUCGGGAAACCGGAGCUAAUACCGGAUAAUAUAUUGAACCGCAUGGUUCAAUAGUGAAAGACGGUUUUGCUGUCACUUAUAGAUGGAUCCGCGCCGCAUUAGCUAGUUGGUAAGGUAACGGCUUACCAAGGCAACGAUGCGUAGCCGACCUGAGAGGGUGAACGGCCAAACUGGAACUGAGACACGGUCCAGACUCCUACGGGAGGCAGCCGUAGGGAAUCUUCCGCAAUGGGCGGAAGCUUGACGGAGCAACGCCGCGUGAGUGAUGAAGGUCUUCGGAUCGUAAAACUCUGUUAUUAGGGAAGAACAAAUGUGUAAGUAACUAUGCACGUCUUGACGGUACCUAAUCAGAAAGCCACGGCUAACUACGUG